Molecule: long non-coding RNA, 3440 nt
Organism: Oryzias sinensis (Chinese medaka)
Lineage: Eukaryota; Metazoa; Chordata; Actinopteri; Beloniformes; Adrianichthyidae
Source: Ensembl
AUGUCAACAGACAGCAACAUGAGUCCUGCAAUAACACAUAAAAGGCCCCGGAGGCAUAAACACAGCCAUUCUGGUCAGCAGGAUUGCAAACCCACAGAUGUCUUCAGUGACGACACUUGCAUGCCUCUCACUUUCGCCAACCAGAUGUGCCACGGGGACAACAAGGUGAGGGGGGCCACGCUCCCUCGGAUGGGCUCUGGGGAGUCCCGGGGUAGACGAGGAAGCACUGGGACUCACAGGGUCAGGGAAGGUACAUUUGAGCAGAGCAAAGGCCAGGACAAGCACAAGAUUUCAUCAGCAGUGAAAGGAAACAACAAAAACCGACAGCACUCAGAAUUUGCCGACGUUCCUCUGUAUAGUCGUCCUUCUUUUCCACCAGGUCAUAGAGAGCUGGGCUCUAAUGCGUUGAGCUUUCAGUCAUGUGGGAACUCAAGGACCAAACCUGCAGAGCUGAAGACCCCUACAGUACAGGUGGAAGAGGUAAAUGGGACUUCAGCGUAAAAAUCAAGGCAGAUUGUCUUAUCCCUUUGACUAAAAACUAAUUAAUGGUUUUUAUUCCUAUAUUUUCACAGUUCCUGAAAAGCCAAGAAGCACUGUGAGUUGGUGAGAAACGUCCCAUUAAUGCUACAAGCGACUGAGACUUUUGCAAAAAAAAAACAAAAAAAAAAAGGACAAGAAAUUCUGCACAAAACCAUUUUCUACUUGGGAUUUCCCUCUGUGUUGGAAAAAAUAUGGAAAAAAAUCUUUAAGUCUCUGGACUUCUUUGUUGUGUGCUUUCUUUGUAUUUUUUUCCCUCAAGGACUCUGACCUGCUGGUGGUUGAACGGAGUACAGAUAAUGCAAAUUAGUUGUGGAUGUUUCACUAAAAUAUUGCUUCUGAAAACUGCUUGAUGCAGUUAAUUUGUCUUUUGUUUGUUGUCUUAUUAUAUUACUGUAAAACAGUCAUUUCCAGACAUGUUGUAAAUUGUUUACUGCCACAGAAGUGCUUCAAAUUUUAUAAAAGUGUUGAUGUUUUCUACGUGGUGUACAUCUAGUCUUUGUAUUAUUUGUUCUACUUGGUUAAAAAAAGCACAAUCAGUUACUUUUGUUGUACGGAUACGUUUUUGCUCGGGAGAAAAUCGGUUGUUUAUGAAGCUUUUAAUGCAUAAGACAAAGAUUGUUCAGUGAGUUUGUGCAUUCAGUUGCAUAUAUUUGAGCUGCUUUCAUACUUGUUUAAACCCUCUGUUAUGUGUAUCUUGACAACUGCAUGCAAUUUCAAAAGAAAGGUUCUUUUUCUAUCAUCUUCGGUGCUUUGCCUUCCGUUUAGAAUUAUAAAAAAGAAAACAAAUAAGGAAAAUGGUCUGAUUGCUUUUCUGUGUCAGCUUUUCUGCAACACUUGAAUUCAGCUAAAUAAAUGAUGGAGGAGUGCUGGAAAAUAUUUUGGAGACAACAAUUGUGAUUUAAUGAAUCAAAAGAAUCCAACAUGGUCAUUUCAUAAGACUUGCAAACUGUAUCUGCAAAAUUAAAAAUCAACCAGUACUUCAAGCAAAAAUGAAAUAAAAUAUCAUCUCUGAGGCUAAAGUCCUGCUUUUUAUCAUAACUGAUUGACUUCAGAAUAAAUAUUUAAAGACUAAACCUAAGAAAAUUCUGUCUUGUUUCUCUAUCUGUCUGUACACUACCAUAAUAUUUGAAAAAAAAAAAAAACAAAUGGGUUUAGUCAUAAUUCUUCUGUACUCUACACCUUGCAGCCUUGAAAAAUAUCCAUACUAACAAAAAGGAACUGGUAGUUUCCUCUAAAUGUAUAAAGUUUUGCUCUUUUAGAAAUCUCCAAUAUGUUAAAUUAGGUGUUUGUAUGUUAUCUAAUAGGAAUACCACAAAAGUAUCAAACUUCUUUACUAUAACAAAAACAAAUUCAUCACAGCAGCAGAAACACUGAAUGGGGCUAAAAUGGGCUCGAAAACUAAAACAGGAGUCGGGAAUAUCCAAAUGUUUUUGUUCACCUUUCAGCAUAUCCCUUCAUGGGUCACCACAGUGAAUCAGCUUUGAACAGGUGAUUUGGUAGAGAAUUUAACACCUGAUGCCCUUCCUGACACAAACCUGUAUUUUAUCCGGCCUUGUGGGCCUCUUUAUAGUAAGGCAGUAGCAUGAAGGCCCCUUGCCCAAGGACCCACACUGGAGGAAGCUCAUCAUGCCCCUGGGAAGUGAACCCUAGUUUCCCAUGCGCCAGUCCUACAUGCAUCCAACUUAGGGCUGCACGAUAUGAGGAAAACUCGCGAUAUGCGAAAUUAGAGAUUAAAAUUGCGAUAAAGAUAUAAUUUGCAGUAUAUAAACAAUUAGCAAAAUAACCAAAUAACCAUUCCCAUUACAUUGCAACAGUUUAAAAAUUAUACUCCAAAUGUCACUCGUCGACAUAGGUGACAAACAUCUGACAUAAUAGGCGUCCAUCCGAUUGGUCAAAUGCAUAAAGGGAUUUAUUUGAUUCGUUAAAUGGUUCAAGCUGACAUAAGAUUGUUUUAGCAUAUUUAAGGUUUACGAUUUAUUGUGAUAUUUGCAGUCUUAUGCGAUAUGCAUAUUGCAGAGCUGGAUUUUGCGAUAACGAUAAAUUUGCGGUAUAUUGUGCAGGCCUAAUCCAAUUGAUGUUCAGCUGCUCGUUGAUAUCCAAAAGAACUUGUGAAACUAUUAUGGGAUGGCCACAGGACCUACAGCUUGGUAGCCAUUGGUCAAAGUGAGAAAUUUGACGAUUUUCACACAAUAUUGGAAAAGAAAAUAAGUAAUCUACACAGCCUUUUAUACACAUGCCACAAUGUUAAGUCUGCAACCCCAACAACGUUGCGAUGACUUUUGACCUAAAAAAAAGGCUGAUCUGUGUUUUUUAAAAACAUUACCUUUAGGACCAGCUGCAAAUUUAAACUCUUCCUGGGAAUUUUGAUCUAUAACCUUCUAACUUCUCCAGCAUCAUUAGGAAGCUUUUUGUGAAAGAAAAAACAAAAAAAAAAGGAUUUAUAAGUUGUAAAUCCUGAAUGGCCUUAGUGUGGCUAGCUCGCAAAAGUGGUGUUCCCUUGUUGCUCACACAAAUUUACCCAAAAUAUUGUUAAAAGUUAAUACAUGAAUCCAUGGCUCAAGCUGAACGAAAUGAUAUAGCAUACGAUAUUUUUUGAUUUGAUUUGAAAUGGUUUAUUUCAAGCAAUCAAAUAGGAGUAAUACACAAAAGCAAUAUAAUCAUCAGUUAUACAUUCAUACAGUAACUAAUCAAACUUAGGAUAAUUAGACAUAAUUAAUAAAAAUUGCUUGAAAGGGAGUGGAAAGAAGCGAACUUAUAUAAUCCCACCCCGUUAUACUAUAACCAUUUUAUUUCAUGAUUUAUCAAUAUCCGGUUCCUAGGUUUUAUCAGACAGAAUUAAGAAUCAUAAGGUAUCAAUAAAGCAAAAGCCAAAGAUGAAUUACUUAAGUACUACGUCAAAA